Molecule: long non-coding RNA, 526 nt
Organism: Raphanus sativus (radish)
Lineage: Eukaryota; Viridiplantae; Streptophyta; Magnoliopsida; Brassicales; Brassicaceae
Exons: 2
Source: RefSeq, a predicted model, not a curated record
GGGUCCCGCCCCGUUUGACCCGCUGCGGGGCGGGUGCGGAUCGGCCAAUUCGAAAAAUUUAACAUGCGGGUGCGGAUGCGAGUUUGAAAGGAACCAGGACGUUCUGAACAGGAUGCUCCUCUUUGAAUGUUGGAAAGUGGGAUGAACGUGGGUUUGUAAGUUGCUGAUGGAUCUUCUUCUUGAAGCACACAACCAUGUCUCCAAGCCUUUGCGCUUUGCUUUAUUUGGCCGACCGAAUCUGCCCAGCUUAUUUUGAUGGUGGUUCAGACCAAGAGAUACACUUCUCAUUAAGUUGUUUACUCUUUCUGGUGGCUGUAUGGCAGGGUUUUUAAACCUAUCACGAUUUAGACUCCUUUUCUGAUUUAGUACCAGAACAUUGACUGUUUUUUGUAUCUAUUGUCUGAUGACCUCUUGAAAUUGUUGGAUGUGCAAGUUGUCAGAACACCUUUGCUUUGCUUUCUUCAUCUCAAGUUUCAUCUUUCUCUGGUUUAUUAGCUCAUAAGUCUUCCUGUUUCUUUCAAUCAUC